GCCUGGAUGGCUCAGUCGGUUGAGUGUUUGAUUUGGCUCAGGUCAUGAUCUCACAGUUUGUGGGUUCAAGCCCCACGCUGGGCU
Molecule: transfer RNA, 84 nt
Filed under: Felis catus (domestic cat)
Lineage: Eukaryota; Metazoa; Chordata; Mammalia; Carnivora; Felidae
Rfam family: tRNA
About the family: Transfer RNA (tRNA) molecules are approximately 80 nucleotides in length. Their secondary structure includes four short double-helical elements and three loops (D, anti-codon, and T loops). Further hydrogen bonds mediate the characteristic L-shaped molecular structure. tRNAs have two regions of fundamental functional importance: the anti-codon, which is responsible for specific mRNA codon recognition, and the 3' end, to which the tRNAs corresponding amino acid is attached (by aminoacyl-tRNA synthetases). tRNAs cope with the degeneracy of the genetic code in two manners: having more than one tRNA (with a specific anti-codon) for a particular amino acid; and 'wobble' base-pairing, i.e. permitting non-standard base-pairing at the 3rd anti-codon position.
Source: Rfam by way of RNAcentral